AGAGUUUGAUCCUGGCUCAGAUUGAACGCUGGCGGCAGGCCUAACACAUGCAAGUCGAGCGGUAGAGAGAAGCUUGCUUCUCUUGAGAGCGGCGGACGGGUGAGUAAUGCCUAGGAAUCUGCCUGGUAGUGGGGGAUAACGUUCGGAAACGGACGCUAAUACCGCAUACGUCCUACGGGAGAAAGCAGGGGACCUUCGGGCCUUGCGCUAUCAGAUGAGCCUAGGUCGGAUUAGCUAGUUGGUGGGGUAAUGGCUCACCAAGGCGACGAUCCGUAACUGGUCUGAGAGGAUGAUCAGUCACACUGGAACUGAGACACGGUCCAGACUCCUACGGGAGGCAGCAGUGGGGAAUAUUGGACAAUGGGCGAAAGCCUGAUCCAGCCAUGCCGCGUGUGUGAAGAAGGUCUUCGGAUUGUAAAGCACUUUAAGUUGGGAGGAAGGGCAGUAAAUUAAUACUUUGCUGUUUUGACGUUACCGACAGAAUAAGCACCGGCUAACUCUGUGCCAGCAGCCGCGGUAAUACAGAGGGUGCAAGCGUUAAUCGGAAUUACUGGGCGUAAAGCGCGCGUAGGUGGUUCGUUAAGUUGGAUGUGAAAUCCCCGGGCUCAACCUGGGAACUGCAUUCAAAACUGACGAGCUAGAGUAUGGUAGAGGGUGGUGGAAUUUCCUGUGUAGCGGUGAAAUGCGUAGAUAUAGGAAGGAACACCGAUGGCGAAGGCAGCCUCCUGGGAUAACACUGACGCUCAUGCACGAAAGCGUGGGGAGCAAACAGGAUUAGAUACCCUGGUAGUCCACGCCCUAAACGAUGUCAACUAGCUGUUGGGACCUUCGGGUCUUAGUGGCGCAGCUAACGCGUGAAGUUGACCGCCUGGGGAGUACGGUCGCAAGAUUAAAACUCAAAGGA
This 904-nucleotide ribosomal RNA is filed under the name uncultured Pseudomonas sp. RNAcentral's name for it is "bacterial SSU rRNA". It matches the Rfam family "Bacterial small subunit ribosomal RNA", at positions 8 to 908 of the family's 1533-position model. The record is from RNAcentral. Lineage: Bacteria; Pseudomonadati; Pseudomonadota; Gammaproteobacteria; Pseudomonadales; Pseudomonadaceae.